Molecule: unclassified non-coding RNA, 172 nt
Organism: Carlito syrichta (Philippine tarsier)
Lineage: Eukaryota; Metazoa; Chordata; Mammalia; Primates; Tarsiidae
Source: Ensembl
CUGGCAGCCCUGCAGCCUCUUCUGUAUACCCACAGCACAGAUGCACCACAGGUAGUGACAGUGCCAACAUCCCCACACUGCUCCUGCCACAUGCCUCGCCCUAACUUGGAGAGGCCACCUCUAGAGGGGAGGGAAGAGUUUGAAUCCAUGCCUUCUCUAUUCAAUUUUCAAA